CUGAUUUGCUUAAUUGCACCACAUGUGUUUUUUAUUGAACAAAUUUCUUUGGUGGCGGGAGCAAUCCUACCGCCAGAGGUUAUAACUAAACCAAACUUUUUAUUUACAGUCAAACUUGAUUUAUUAUUACAAUAGUCA
RNAcentral lists this unclassified non-coding RNA (138 nucleotides) under uncultured Candida. RNAcentral describes it as "sequence contains ITS1". Lineage: Eukaryota; Fungi; Ascomycota; Saccharomycetes; Saccharomycetales. The record is from RNAcentral.